Molecule: ribosomal RNA, 253 nt
Filed under: uncultured bacterium
Lineage: Bacteria
Description: partial 16S ribosomal RNA
Rfam family: Bacterial small subunit ribosomal RNA
Source: RNAcentral
UACGGAGGGUGCGAGCGUUGCUCGGAAUCACUGGGCGUAAAGCGCACGUAGGCGGAUUGUUAAGUCAGGGGUGAAAUCCUGGAGCUCAACUCCAGAACUGCCUUUGAUACUGGCGAUCUCGAGUCCGGGAGAGGUGAGUGGAACUGCGAGUGUAGAGGUGAAAUUCGUAGAUAUUCGCAAGAACACCAGUGGCGAAGGCGGCUCACUGGCCCGGUACUGACGCUGAGGAGCGAAAGCGUGGGUAGCAAACAGG